CCGUGAGCUAUGCUCAGGCACCCAAAAAAUUAGGACAGUUUCGUUAGCCCUAUUGGAUACAAAUCCCUGUUGAGAACUAAGAAUUAAAAUACUUGACACUGCGAUUACUAAUUCAAUAUAUGUCAUUUUCAAUUUUCUUUUAACUAGACAGCUACAAAAGAAUAUUAUACAAGAAUAUGAUGUCUAACUGGGACUCAAAGAAGCCUUCCCUACAAAUUUGUAGAAUACAGAGCUACCAAUG
RNAcentral lists this unclassified non-coding RNA (241 nucleotides) under Hevea brasiliensis (rubber tree). Lineage: Eukaryota; Viridiplantae; Streptophyta; Magnoliopsida; Malpighiales; Euphorbiaceae. The record is from RNAcentral.